GCUUUUGGUUAAGGCACAACGGCAAUGUCGACGGAGUCAUGCGGUCAUUGUUUGGAGACACAUUAAUAAUUGAUUACAAUUUAGAGGGGAGAAGGGGAAAAGCAGCCUCUAUUAAAACUUAAAUGCAUUGAUCUCCUUUUUGAUGCAUUUUCGGAAAUUCCAAAGGAGCAAAUAAUUAGAGAAAUAAGGCAUUACGUUAUGUUAAGCCAUAACAUACUAAAACAACAAAAAUAAAAAUUAAAAAAAAAAUAGUUUUAAGUAGUAAAUAUUCUAGUUUUAAGAUGAACAUAAUUAGUUUUAAGUUGUAAAUAUUUUAGUUUUAAGAUGUACAUAAUUAUUUUUAAGUUGUAAAUAUUUUAGUUUUAAGAUGUACAUAUUAGUCCUUAGUUGUAAAUAUGUAAAUAUCAGAAUUGCAUUUUUUAAAUUAUUUAUUUAUAAUAGAAUAAUAUUUUUUAUUUUGAUGUCAAAACGUGGUUUAUUUUUUGUUUAGUUAUUACAAGCAUUAAGCUCUGUAGAUAUAUAUACAUAUAUACAUCUGUUUUUUAACAUUACUUAUAUUUUCAUUAUCCAUUUCAGAUAUUGGAAACAUAAAUACUUUGCACAAAUGGAGGAUUACAAUAGAUACAACUUUCUUAGACUACACCAAAUCCCCUCUUACAUUUAGAUUAGCAGUUGCACAACCUCUUUCCGACGAGCUGAACCCUUUUAUGAUGUACAUAUGGGAUAGAAUUGUGUGGAAUUGACAUCAAACAAUAUUGGUUCAUUAAUUUCGUUGGAUCCUUACAGGAUAGUUAUAAGGAAAUCGUUCGCGCUUAGUACUAACGUAUUCAUUUGCUAAUUCAUAAUUUCAAUGUAAAAUAUUGUUAAAUUAUACAAAUGAAUGUUCAAAUACUAAUAACAGUCGUAAUAGUAGUUUAAAUUUAUUUGUAUUGUAUGACAACAACUACAAAAAAUAAAAAUUUAAUAAUUAAUACUAACUUCAUUUGUAAAAUAUGUAAAUUUUGUCAAUGUAUAAAUGAUA
Molecule: long non-coding RNA, 1021 nt
Organism: Zeugodacus cucurbitae (melon fly)
Lineage: Eukaryota; Metazoa; Arthropoda; Insecta; Diptera; Tephritidae
Exons: 3
Source: RefSeq, a predicted model, not a curated record